Molecule: long non-coding RNA, 248 nt
Filed under: Setaria italica (foxtail millet)
Lineage: Eukaryota; Viridiplantae; Streptophyta; Magnoliopsida; Poales; Poaceae
Description: long non-coding RNA (SITA_LNC006278)
Source: RNAcentral
GCCGAUGCAGCCAUGGCUUGCGUGCUUCGCUGCUUUGCCGGUUCCCUUCCGGCAGCUGCCGGCCGGCCGCCGAGAGAACACGCAGCGCUGCACGCCUGGCCGCCUGCUCCGCCGGGCCUCCGACGAGGCGGCGACGGCGGCUGCUCCCACGUCAUCGAGGAGCAUGACCUGGCAGCUAGGCACAGGACAGGAGUAGAGUGGAGUGGGGCGCCCUGCGAUUACGCGGGUUCGGUAGGGUCAGAUCUGGC